GAUGAACGCUGGCGGCGUGCCUAAUACAUGCAAGUCGAGCGAACAGACGAGGAGCUUGCUCCUCUGACGUUAGCGGCGGACGGGUGAGUAACACGUGGAUAACCUACCUAUAAGACUGGGAUAACUUCGGGAAACCGGAGCUAAUACCGGAUAAUAUAUUGAACUGCAUGGUUCAAUAGUGAAAGACGGUUUUGCUGUCACUUAUAGAUGGAUCCGCGCCGCAUUAGCUAGUUGGUAAGGUAACGGCUUACCAAGGCAACGAUGCGUAGCCGACCUGAGAGGGUGAUCGGCCACACUGGAACUGAGACACGGUCCAGACUCCUACGGGAGGCAGCGUUAGGGAAUCUUCCGCAAUGGGCGAAAGCCUGACGGAGCAACGCCGCGUGAGUGAUGAAGUUCUUCGGAUCGUAAAACUCUGUUAUUAGGGAAGAACAAAUGUGUAAGUAACUAUGCACGUCUUGACGGUACCUAAUCAGAAAGCCACGGCUAACUACGUG
RNAcentral lists this ribosomal RNA (497 nucleotides) under uncultured bacterium. RNAcentral describes it as "partial 16S ribosomal RNA". It matches the Rfam family "Bacterial small subunit ribosomal RNA", at positions 28 to 507 of the family's 1533-position model. The record is from RNAcentral.